Molecule: ribosomal RNA, 391 nt
Filed under: uncultured bacterium
Lineage: Bacteria
Description: bacterial SSU rRNA
Rfam family: Bacterial small subunit ribosomal RNA
Source: RNAcentral
GACGAACGCUGGCGGCGUGCUUAACACAUGCAGGUCGAGCGGUAAGGCCCUUUCGGGGGUACACGAGCGGCGAACGGGUGAGUAACACGUGGGUGACCUGCCCUUAGCUCUGGGAUAAGCCUGGGAAACUGGGUCUAAUACCGGAUAUGACUCCAUGACGCAUGUUGUGGGGUGGAAAGCCUUGUGCGGCUAGGGAUGGGCCCGCGGCCUAUCAGCUUGUUGGUGGGGUGAUGGCCACCAAGGCGACGACGGGUAGCCGGCCUGAGAGGGCGACCGGCCACACUGGGACUGAGACACGGCCCAGACUCCUACGGGAGGCAGCAGUGGGGAAUCUUGCGCAAUGGGCGAAAGCCUGACGCAGCGACGCCGCGUGGGGAUGACGGCCUCGGUU